AAAGGUGCAUGACAACUCUGAGCAAGUCAAAACAACCGUCAGCAGCGGGAAACCUCGAUGAACAAACACCGGGAGAGUGCAUUCCCAGGGGAGUUCCAGGAGGCCCAUGGCCCCUCCUGUACAGCCCUCCACCGCCCAGAGCCUUCCAGCGCCGUGUCUUCCCCUUGGAGCAUCUGGAGGCCCCAGACAGCACCCGCCUGACGUUCAGCAGAGGGGGAGACCGAGGCCUGCAGCAGAGUGUUUUGUCAGAUGCUGCUCCCUGACCGGGAGUGAGAGGGAACCCACCUAGAGGUGCCAGAUGGGGUGCCAGGGCAGCGUGGCCUGCAGGCCCCUCAGCUCCUCACAGCCCCUGCCCCCAGCCUUCCUGGGCCCAGAGAUCCCCUUGUUUACCCUAGUCCAGGGACAGAGGCUCAGAUGUCAUGCUUGACCCCACAGGUACAGGGUUAGGGGUGAAGGUGGCUGUCUCUUCAUGUCUUCACCAUGGCUUCUCUGCCUUCCUCCUGCUCCUGGUGGCUUAUGUCCUGCCGCUCUUGAUACGCGACUGUGGUCUGUCCUGGGAUGGUUAUGAUGCAUAUGUGCUAUUGUUGUGAACUGUAACAUUGAGGUCUGUUUCUGCAGAUCCUGCUUUGUGACUUCGAGUGAAGUGUGGAAGCGCUGGAAGCACUUAGACCCUGCCUGUGCCGCAGACCCCUGGGAGGCACCAACACCCCGGAUCGAGAAGCCCGAUGGGAAAGAAUGUCUGGGAAGGACGUCAUGCCCGAGGCUUGCGUGACAGUUUCCACUCACAGUGCGCUCACUCUGAACCUCUGUGCACACGAUGGGCCUGCAUCUCUUCCCACUAUCUGCUAGGAAACACGAGGAAUCAUGGGAUUUGCCGCAGUUUGCACCCAGGCCUGUGCGGAUGCCCCCCGACUGCCCGAGAUGCUGCACCUGCCACUGCUGGGGGUGUACCUGCCUAUGCCCACUCACAGGGGCACCUCCAGGGUAGCUGCCUGGUGCAGGCAUUGGCUCUAAGCAGAGCAGCACUAUGGGCCCAUCUGGGGCUGGCUCUUGCCUGGGCCUGUGAGCACCAUCACAGCCAGCCGAUCUGGGAGUAUCCAGGGUGUUCUUGUCAUUGCGGACACUGAAUAGCCAUUGGUGGGUGGCGAUGGGGGCUUGGAAGCCGAGCAUCAGUGGCAAUGAGAAGCAGGCCCUGUGGUUUAAUUCCGAAGCACAUGAACCCACAGAGCCGCCAACAGUCGUUAUUCGGCAGGAGGGGGUACAGAGACAGCAGCCUGCGGAGCGUUCUAGGCAGGACAGGGCAGCAAACCUGACAUGCGGAGCUGGGGGCAGGGGUAAUGGGGCCAGGGGGUAAUGGCAGGUGAGGCCAUGGCCUAGAGGGUUGCCAUGCUUGGUGCAGGGGAGGAGAGGCCCAGGUGUGGCUGCAGUGGCAGCAGGAGUCAGUGUGGCUGUGCCCAGUGGGAUGUUGUCAGAGAAUGGACCUGGCUGCUGGGAAAGGUGAUUGUGUUUGUCUGAGCCACACUGGACUCUUCUCUGACCAGCAAGCACAUUCUGGAGAUGCGGGGCAGAGACGAGGCCUCCGUGAGAACCUUUGAGGUGUGAGGGCCUUGAUCUGGGGUGCAGCCUCCAGCUUUCUGCUUACAGAGCAGGACCUGCAGGAGCUCGCUGACUGCCUGCACAGUGGAAGGAAGACCUGUUUCUUUUACUUUCCUUGAGGAGAAAAAAUUAAAGUUCUGAGCAAACGCAUGGCAAGGGAGCUCUUGCUUUCCUCUCUUGGAGUUCUAGGCGGCUGGCGCUAGUGGCACGUGGAACUGGUCACGCACACUGGGUCUCGAGGCCGUCUCCUCUUCUGUAAGUUGAAAGGUUGGUGAGAACAGAGGUGUGGUGUGCUCUGACAGUGGCUGGUUGCCUUGUUAGUGCCUGUGCUGCCGGCCUGCCACGCCUCCAGCUCUUUUAGAGGAAUGGCCUACCUUUCAAAGAGGAAGUGCCACAGACCAGUCUAGUUCCCUGGAGCCACAUUCCCACAUGGCGAAGGUGGGAAGCCACUGCGUUAUGACUCUGUGCGUUCACCACCAUCUCCACCCCGCGUCAUCCCUCGUGGCGUACGUCCCUGCCUGGCCUCCCCAGGCACUGGAGCUGGCACUUCUUGUCUAGGUAUCUCAGGCCUGGCGAAGCUCCUCGGCUCCGGCCUGAGCGACGACCUGCAAGCACAGACUGGGCGCUGAGCCCCUGCCUGAGCUGAGUCAGGGCCGGAGAGCCGGCCGAGUGGCAUGCUCCCGAGAGCACAGCUGGCUGUGCAGUCAGGGCCUUGGUGGACACGCUGUCCACCUGGCAUGGACAUGGGGACAUGAGGGGCAAUGCGGGCACAUGCAAGAGCAUUCCCAGAACAAAUGCAUGGUCGUCCCCCAACCCCCUCCCUCGGAGUCCAGCUGCUGCCAAAUGUCCCUUAAAACCCUGGGUGGGAUGCCAGCAAGAGCCCCGGGAAGCUUGAUGAUGAGACUCCCAGCCUCGCCUCCCGGCAGUCUCCCCCGCCGUGGCAGGCCUGGGCUGGCCCUGGCAUCUGUCCAGGCCCCUCGGUGACUCUAACCUUGGCCAGGUUUGGGGACCACAGGGGACUCUGGGGCCCUCUUUGCUUGGUGACUUGGAGUUCUGGCCUGGCACCCCCAAGACAGCAAAGGGCCUGGCCCUUCCGGUGUCAUUGCUCUCCUGGGUCCCAAGCUUGCGUGUCCCCGCGGGCCAGGGCAGGGCUGCAUGCCACAGAAGUCACCGUUUCAUAGAAGGGAAGACUAGGAAGUCAGCUGCACCCAGGUCAAGUGGGUCUGUGCGAGUGGACGUCCCUCCUCUUGCUGUCUGCGUGGGUCACAUUGACCAGAGUUUGUUAAGCCCGGGCCAGAGGAGGCUCACUCCCUAGGCUGGGAAUGAGUUUGGUGUGGCUUCACACACACCGCACUCACACACACACCCUCUACUCCACACGGUGAUAAGUGAGUGGCUGGAGCAAGCCGCAAGGAGCUUUUGAGCGCACACCAGAGCUGCUUCUGCUACCUCCAGGCCUCUGAUGGCUGCGGCUGCAGACACAGCCAGCCUCGCAGCAUGUAAGAGUGGGCAAGGAUGACACACGGGCACAGAGAGACCAGGCUGGGCUUCAGGAAGCAGGUCUGCGUGGGAUGGAAGUGCUUAGAAAGUCAUUUCUGGAAGGCCGACACCAGUCGGCACUCCCUGAGCGAAAGGACUUGGGAACACGUGGAUGCACUUCUUGUAUCUCCAAGGAAAUGCUCCCUGAGGAUUUGCGACGUGGAAAUGCAACGGGCUGUGGAGUGCUGCGCACCCCGCACCUCGAGCAGUGGUUUAGCUCAGCUCGGGGUUUGUGGCUUCAGGGGGUCAUAGUCCACAGGAGUGCCAGGGGGUUGGGCGGGUGGGACAGAGGAGGCGAGAAGUGGUUGCGGACACUCUGCAUGAGCAGGACACGCACACACCACACACACACAUACCCCACACACAUAUACACACCACACACCCCAUAUACACACAAGUACACACACGAACAUACCACACACCCCAUAUACACACAAGUACACACAUGAACACACCACACACACACACAAUACGGCUCUGCAAGGAAACGUGUGAGGGGUGUGGUGUGUGUGCACUGUGUGUGAGGUGUGUGGUGUGUGUGAAAUGUAUGUGUGAGGUAUACAGUAUGUGUGUGAGGUAGUGUGCGAUGUGUGUGUAGUGUAUGUGGUUGUGUGAGGUAUGUGGGGUGUGAGGAAUGUAUUGUGUAUGUGUGAUAUAUACUGAUUGUGUGUAAGGGAUGUGGAGUGUGUGGCAUGUGUGUAAGGUAGGUGUGUGUUGUGUAUAUGUGAGCUGUAUAGUGUCGGGGGGGUGUGAGGUAUGUGGUGUAUGUUAUGUUUGAGAUCUAGUGUGUGUGUAUGGUGUGUGUGGGAGGUAUGUGGGGUGUGUGGUGUGUGGUGUGUAUGAGGUAUGUAGUGUGAGGUGUGUGAUGUGUAGNNNNNNNNNNGGUGUGUGGUGUGGGUGGUGUGUGUGGUGUGUGUGGUUUGUGGUGUGUGUGGUUUGUGGUGUGUGGUAUGUGGUGUGUUGUGUGUGGUUUGUGGUAUGGUGUGUGUGGUAUGGUUGUGUGUGGUGUGGUGUGUGCUGUGUGUAUGGUUUGUGGUGUGUGUGGUGUGUGUGGGUGUGGUGUGUGUGGUGUGUGUGUGGUGUAAGUGUGGUGUGUGUGGUGUGUGUGUGUGGUGUGUGGUGUGUGUGGUGUGUGGUGCGUGUGUGUGGUGUGUGGUGUGUGUGGUGUGUUUGGUGUGUGUGUGGUGUGUGGUGUGUAUGUGGUGUGUGGUGUGUGUGGUGUGUGUGUGUGGUGUGCUGUGUAAUGUGUGGUGUGUGGUUUGUGGUGUGGUGUGUGUGGUGUGUGGGUGUGUGGUGUGUGGUUUGUGGUGUGGUGUGUGUGGUGUGUGGGUGUGUGGUGUGUGGUUUGUGGUGUGGUGUGUGUGGAUUGUGGCCCCCAUCCCCAUCCUUGCGGAAGGGCUCAGACCCCGGCCCCUGUGCAUUUACUCUCUAG
RNAcentral lists this long non-coding RNA (4567 nucleotides) under Homo sapiens (human). Its description in RNAcentral is "non-protein coding LINC00313:33". Lineage: Eukaryota; Metazoa; Chordata; Mammalia; Primates; Hominidae. The record is from RNAcentral.